This 1091-nucleotide ribosomal RNA is filed under the name Streptomyces sp. A19(2011). RNAcentral's name for it is "bacterial SSU rRNA". It matches the Rfam family "Bacterial small subunit ribosomal RNA", at positions 118 to 1213 of the family's 1533-position model. The record is from RNAcentral. Lineage: Bacteria; Bacillati; Actinomycetota; Actinomycetes; Kitasatosporales; Streptomycetaceae.
UGGGCAAUCUGCCCUGCACUCUGGGACAAGCCCCUGUUAAAGGGGUCUAAUCCCGGAUACUGACCCGCUUGGGCAUCCAAGCGGUUCGAAAGCUCCGGCGGUGCAGGAUUAGCCCGCGGCCUAUCAGCUUGUUGGUGAGGUAAUGGCUCACCAAGGCGACGACGGGUAGCCGGCCUGAGAGGGCGACCGGCCACACUGGGACUGAGACACGGCCCAGACUCCUACGGGAGGCAGCAGUGGGGAAUAUUGCACAAUGGGCGAAAGCCUGAUGCAGCGACGCCGCGUGAGGGAUGACGGCCUUCGGGUUGUAAACCUCUUUCAGCAGGGAAGAAGCGAAAGUGACGGUACCUGCAGAAGAAGCGCCGGCUAACUACGUGCCAGCAGCCGCGGUAAUACGUAGGGCGCAAGCGUUGUCCGGAAUUAUUGGGCGUAAAGAGCUCGUAGGCGGCUUGUCGCGUCGGUUGUGAAAGCCCGGGGCUUAACCCCGGGUCUGCAGUCGAUACGGGCAGGCUAGAGUUCGGUAGGGGAGAUCGGAAUUCCUGGUGUAGCGGUGAAAUGCGCAGAUAUCAGGAGGAACACCGGUGGCGAAGGCGGAUCUCUGGGCCGAUACUGACGCUGAGGAGCGAAAGCGUGGGGAGCGAACAGGAUUAGAUACCCUGGUAGUCCACGCCGUAAACGGUGGGCACUAGGUGUGGGCAACAUUCCACGUUGUCCGUGCCGCAGCUAACGCAUUAAGUGCCCCGCCUGGGGAGUACGGCCGCAAGGCUAAAAACUCAAAGGAAUUGACGGGGGCCCGCACAAGCGGCGGAGCAUGUGGCUUAAUUCGACGCAACGCGAAGAACCUUACCAAGGCUUGACAUACACCGGAAACAUUCAGAGAUGGGUGCCCCCUUGUGGUCGGUGUACAGGUGGUGCAUGGCUGUCGUCCAGCUCGUGUCGUGAGAUGUUGGGUUAAGUCCCGCAACGAGCGCAACCCUUGUCCCGUGUUGCCAGCAGGCCCUUGUGGUGCUGGGGACUCACGGGAGACCGCCGGGGUCAACUCGGAGGAAGGUGGGGACGACGUCAAGUCAUCAUGCCCCUUAUGUCUUGGG